AUCCCGGGUGAGGCAAGAAUCAGGAGUCACGCUUAUCCCUCGCCCGUAGGAGGAGAGGACGAGGGGAAGGGACAGUCCAGCAUAUAAGCUCAUCGGCUCAAAGAUUCGGCAGUCGAGUCCGAAGCCGACGACCACGAUGCGGUUCCUUGCCUUCAUCCUCCUCCUGGCUCUCGCCGUCGCCUUCGUCGGGGCUAAGUCCUUGGCCUGCUGCGGCGGCGGAGGUAACGGAGGUCACCAUGGAGGUCAUGGCGGUGGAGGCUUCGGCGGAGGCUUCGGAGGCGGUGGAGGAUUGGGAGGUGGCGGAGGCUUCGGAGGCGGAUUCGGAGGAUAGAACUUAGCGACUUCACGGAGAGAUCGCACCCACACCACAUGACCAACGCAAUUUCAGUUUAAAAAUUACCACUUGUCAUAGCAUGUUGUUAGUAUCUUUUCACCAAGUAUGUACCUCUUAUUUCUUUCACUUAUUUUCUGUUCUUUUCCUUACUAUUCGAAAUAAAGAAAUACCAAAACCA
Molecule: long non-coding RNA, 512 nt
Organism: Penaeus monodon (black tiger shrimp)
Lineage: Eukaryota; Metazoa; Arthropoda; Malacostraca; Decapoda; Penaeidae
Exons: 4
Source: RefSeq, a predicted model, not a curated record